RNAcentral lists this ribosomal RNA (428 nucleotides) under uncultured bacterium. RNAcentral's name for it is "partial 16S ribosomal RNA". It matches the Rfam family "Bacterial small subunit ribosomal RNA", at positions 338 to 795 of the family's 1533-position model. The record is from RNAcentral.
CCUACGGGUGGCAGCAGUGGGGAAUAUUGGACAAUGGGCGAAAGCCUGAUCCAGCAAUGCCGCGUGAGUGAUGAAGGCCUUAGGGUUGUAAAGCUCUUUUACUGGGAUACAGUACCCAGAGAAUAAGCCCGGCUAACUCCGUGCCAGCAGCCGCGGUAAUACGGAGGGGCUAGCGUUGUUCGGAAUUACUGGGCGUAAAGCGCACGUAGGCGGCUCAGCAAGUCAGGGGUGAAAUCCCGGGGCUCAACCCCGGAACUGCCCUUGAAACUGCUAAGCUAGAAUCUUGGAGAGGCGAGUGGAAUUCCGAGUGUAGAGGUGAAAUUCGUAGAUAUUCGGAAGAACACCAGUGGCGAAGGCGACUCGCUGGACAGAUUGACGCUGAGGUGCGAAAGCGUGGGGAGCAAACAGGAUUAGAUACCCGUGUAGUC